UACGGGGGGGGCAAGCGUUGUUCGGAAUUACUGGGCGUAAAGGGCUCGUAGGCGGCCAACUAAGUCAGACGUGAAAUCCCUCGGCUUAACCGGGGAACUGCGUCUGAUACUGGAUGGCUUGAGUUUGGGAGAGGGAUGCGGAAUUCCAGGUGUAGCGGUGAAAUGCGUAGAUAUCUGGAGGAACACCGGUGGCGAAGGCGGCAUCCUGGACUACUACUGACGCUGAGGAGCGAAAGCCAGGGGAGCAAACGGG
Molecule: ribosomal RNA, 253 nt
Filed under: uncultured bacterium
Lineage: Bacteria
Description: partial 16S ribosomal RNA
Rfam family: Bacterial small subunit ribosomal RNA
Source: RNAcentral